GCUUGUUUUGGCAACCUGUAUAUUAAAAUUGGAACAAUACAGAGAUUAACAUGGCCCCUGCCCAAGGAUGACAUGCAAAUUUGUGAAGCAUUCUGCAUCUUA
Manis pentadactyla (Chinese pangolin) is the source of this 102-nucleotide small nuclear RNA. NCBI's taxonomy places the organism in Eukaryota, Metazoa, Chordata, Mammalia, Pholidota, Manidae. The record is from RefSeq and is a predicted model, not a curated record.